This 69-nucleotide transfer RNA is filed under the name Camelus bactrianus (Bactrian camel). It matches the Rfam family "tRNA". Rfam says of the family: Transfer RNA (tRNA) molecules are approximately 80 nucleotides in length. Their secondary structure includes four short double-helical elements and three loops (D, anti-codon, and T loops). RNAcentral also lists the same sequence under 2 other names. The record is from Rfam by way of RNAcentral. Lineage: Eukaryota; Metazoa; Chordata; Mammalia; Artiodactyla; Camelidae.
GAUGGUAUCCCUCUGUAGAGCACAUGCUUAGCAUGCAUGAGGUCCUGGGUUCAACCCCCAGUACCUCCU